CCUACGGGUGGCAGCAGUGGGGAAUAUUGGACAAUGGGGGCAACCCUGAUCCAGCCAUGCCGCGUGUGUGAAGAAGGCCCUCGGGUUGUAAAGCACUUUCAGUGAGGAAGAACGCCUGGUGGUUAAUACCCAUCAGGAAAGACAUCACUCACAGAAGAAGCACCGGCUAACUCUGUGCCAGCAGCCGCGGUAAUACGGAGGGUGCGAGCGUUAAUCGGAAUUACUGGGCGUAAAGCGCGCGUAGGUGGUUUGAUAAGCCGGUUGUGAAAGCCCCGGGCUCAACCUGGGAACGGCAUCCGGAACUGUCAAGCUAGAGUGCAGGAGAGGAAGGUAGAAUUCCCGGUGUAGCGGUGAAAUGCGUAGAGAUCGGGAGGAAUACCAGUGGCGAAGGCGGCCUUCUGGACUGACACUGACACUGAGGUGCGAAAGCGUGGGUAGCAAACAGGAUUAGAUACCCCAGUAGUC
RNAcentral lists this ribosomal RNA (465 nucleotides) under Vreelandella stevensii. RNAcentral describes it as "partial 16S ribosomal RNA". It matches the Rfam family "Bacterial small subunit ribosomal RNA", at positions 338 to 795 of the family's 1533-position model. Lineage: Bacteria; Pseudomonadati; Pseudomonadota; Gammaproteobacteria; Oceanospirillales; Halomonadaceae. The record is from RNAcentral.